Molecule: long non-coding RNA, 893 nt
Organism: Pseudoliparis swirei
Lineage: Eukaryota; Metazoa; Chordata; Actinopteri; Perciformes; Liparidae
Exons: 3
Source: RefSeq, a predicted model, not a curated record
UCCAUUAUCAAGGGAGACGCAGACCAUUGAUAAUACAUGCUCUUCUGAGACACAAACACCUCGGGAGCCAACGACAAGAACAAUUGCUACACAGACGAAGCGGUGUAUUCAAACCGUCCCCAAGAAGGCCAUUAAAAGAACCGUGAAAGCCUCACAGGAGCCAACAACAUCAUAUGCUACACAGACGAAGCAGUUGAUUCAAACCGUCCCCAAGAAGGCCAUUAAAAGAUCUGUGAAAGCCUCCAUUACCCAAGUCCACACAGGCAGCAGCAGCAGCAGCAGCAGCAGCAGCAGCAGCAGCAGCAGCAGCUGUAACGUCAACAAUACACCCUACGACUACUGCGCCGAUGACAUUGAGAUAAAUUCAGGUUUUGACGCAACGUCCCCACAGAGGGUGAUACAACCUAUGGUUCAUACAUCAACAGAUCUAUGUUUAGAGGCCUGUGAUAUACCAUCCGAAGUGUUAGAGCUUUUGGCCAGCUUCUGUCCAGAGCCACUGGUUGAUGGGAGGGGUGUUGUCGAUAAUCAGCAUACAGAAUUGAGAGGUUUGCUUGGGGACAUACAGGUGUGCAUUAGUACGCUAGACACAUCACACAUUGACUUGGUAGCCGACCUAUCUGACCGUUACAUGUCUGCGGAUAAAACGGCGGCCGCCUUUAACACUACACUUUUAGAGGCCAUCAAUGCACUCGGUGUUGGUCUGUCGGCCGACAUACACAGGGAGUUUAGUGUGCUAAACACAUCACUCAAUACCUUAGGCUCCACCCUAUCUGCCCGUUACAGGGCUGAGGAUCAAGCAUCGGCCAUCGUGAGCACUACGCUUUUAGAGGCUAUCAGUGCCCUUGGGGUUGGUCUGUCUGACUACUACCGUGUCGAGAAUAAAACCAUUAUUG